CGGCACUGGCAGGGCUGGUGACAGCACCACCCCCGCGCCGCCUGCAAUCUGCCACCGCUGCCACCGAGCCGAGGGGCGCCAGCAAGGCAUCCCCUGGGUCAAGGGGCCUCCCGUGGGCUUUCCAAACAGCCUGUGCUCAUUUCCGCGGGAGCCCUCGGGGCGCUGUGCUGUGGCUGCAUUGUCACUGUUUGUUUAUUUCUACAUCUGCUCUGUUAGAAGAUAGGCUCGCUUAGGACAGAGCCUUCUAAUCCACCCCCUGAUGAAUUCGGGCCCUCGCCUUUGGCACAAUGCCUGGCGUCAUCACAACGCGGGUGAUCAGUAAACGGCAGCGAAGGAAGCGGGGUCAGGACUGGAGAGGAGAGGGGGAGGAAGACAGACGACCGGAGAGGAACAAAAAUGGAAGGCAGUGUUUCAAGAACCCAGCUCCAUUCAUCCUAUGAUGCCACCAUCCUCAGCAUUUGACUUCCAUGGCUCCUAUGAUGUCUCGCUAUGUUGCCCAGGCUGGGCUUGAACUCCGGGACUCAAGGGAUCCUCCCACCUCAGCCUCUUGAGUAGCUGAGAUUACAAAGAGCACAGAAGCUUUCAGGGUGGAGAGUCAGGACAGGUUCUAUGGACAUAUGGAGCUCCCAGGGGGGCUUGUGCAGGACUCAAGGAAAUGUCCAGCUUAACCUGCUGGGCACAACAAUUUUGCUGCUUCAACCCAUCUGCUAUGGAAAAUGAGGAGCCAACAAAAAAGGGAGAAACAGAGGUGAAGGCACCUGAUAAUGAAAGCUUUAAGAAAGGGAAGGGGUUCUUCCUCCCUACUGGACCACAGGCGUGUCUCAGCAUUGGGAAGGGUCCUAGGAUGCAUUGUAAAAGAAAGUCUGUAAUUUUGGUGCAUCAAGGAACAAAAGUGUGGAAACAUCCAGCCUGUGGCUGCUGGACACUCCCCUUCUUCCUUCUCACCAUACUGUCUGUAAUAAAGAAUAAAGUGUUAUUUAAUAUUCUGAGUGUACAGUCCUAUUUUUUCUUAACCUGGCAAACCAGAAACAGCAACUAAUAUUCCUGGUUCUCUUUUUACCUUUCACAAGAUCUAUAUCUACCUUAGAGGCUUCAGGGAACAAG
This 1104-nucleotide long non-coding RNA is filed under the name Homo sapiens (human). RNAcentral's name for it is "HSALNT0399560". The record is from RNAcentral. Lineage: Eukaryota; Metazoa; Chordata; Mammalia; Primates; Hominidae.